RNAcentral lists this ribosomal RNA (429 nucleotides) under Actinomycetes bacterium. Its description in RNAcentral is "Actinobacteria bacterium partial 16S ribosomal RNA". It matches the Rfam family "Bacterial small subunit ribosomal RNA", at positions 355 to 776 of the family's 1533-position model. The record is from RNAcentral. Lineage: Bacteria; Bacillati; Actinomycetota; Actinomycetes.
UAGGGAAUCUUCCGCAAUGGGUGAAAGCCUGACGGAGCAACGCCGCGUGAGUGAUGAAGGUCUUCGGAUCGUAAAACUCUGUUAUUAGGGAAGAACAAAUGUGUAAGUAACUAUGCACGUCUUGACGGUACCUAAUCAGAAAGCCACGGCUAACUACGUGCCAGCAGCCGCGGUAAUACGUAGGUGGCAAGCGUUAUCCGGAAUUAUUGGGCGUAAAGCGCGCGUAGGCGGUUUUUUAAGUCUGAUGUGAAAGCCCACGGCUCAACCGUGGAAGGGCAUUGGAAACUGGAAAACUUGAGUGCAGAAGAGGAAAGUGGAAUUCCAUGUGUAGCGGUGAAAUGCGCAGAGAUAUGGAGGAACACCAGUGGCGAAGGCGACUUUAUGGUCUGUAACUGACGCUGAUGUGCGAAAGCGUGGGGAUCAAACAGG